This is a long non-coding RNA of Asparagus officinalis (garden asparagus), 927 nucleotides long. RefSeq lists it as uncharacterized. Lineage: Eukaryota; Viridiplantae; Streptophyta; Magnoliopsida; Asparagales; Asparagaceae. The record is from RefSeq and is a predicted model, not a curated record. The transcript has 3 exons.
UAUUAUCUAUAUUUUGACUAUGUUUCACCUACGGAUUCAUUGUUAUUUGAUGUAUUUCCUUGCAUUUUCGCCAUGUUAAGCUCCCUAGUUCUUGUUUACUGCUCUAUAUAUAUUGUGUAGGAAUUACUGGAGUUUAGCGUGGAUUCGGAGUCAAGAAGGAGUCAAGGAAUGCAUGAAAAGUGGCUACAUGGUCACCCAGUGUUCAACAACACAGGCGUGUUGAUUACAGAAGAUAAGCCCAGAAAGCAGAGCGAAACAGAAUUAAACACGGCCUGGUAAUGUCGAUCUGCACAGCCGUGUUGGAUGACAGCAGUCAGUUAUCAUGCGAUCUGGAGCAUUAUUUAAAGUUAUCUUUCAACACGUUUUUGGAAAAGAAUUAAAAGGAGACGCCCUGAAGCAUCAGAGAGGACCUGCAGGCUAGAGAUCUGGAUAUUUCUUUCUUCUUCUUUUCUUCUUCUCUCUACAAAAACUCUUAGAUUAUUUUUCUUUUGCUUUGGAACCUGCUGUUUGUGGAGAAUUGUGCGCAACUUCGACACUACGCUCUCAAGUGGAGGUUGGAAAAGGAAAUCAUACUUUAUUUUGGCUGGACAAAUGGUUCUGAAAAGGCUUCUGCUCGAGCUGCCAGAUUACAGGAAAGGAGGAGAAAGAGGAAUGCUGAUAGAUUUCAAGCUGCUGGAGCGGUUAGAAAAGAAGACAGAGGUGUGGAGAGCAUGGUGAUUCAGUUAGAAUGAGUUACAAAUGGUUCAGUAGUGAUGUUUUUUUGUUUUUUAUCCUUUAGAACUCUGUUCCAUUGUGAACUGUUCUGCUUUUGUUUUUUGUCAGAUCUUAUUAUGAUCUUCCUUUUGUUGGAGAUCCAUGGUUAUGUACAGAGGGGUGUUGUUUUUCAUUCUCUGUAGCUUCUGAUAUGGACUAUAAUACUCACUCUUG